GGUAACUGAAUGGGGUAUGUCUGAAAAAUUAGGUCCAUUAAAUUAUAAACAAAGGAUGGGAGAUGGAUAUUCAUCAAAUAGAUUAUCACCAAAAACUAUAGCUGAAAUAGAAGUAGAGGUAAAAGCAUUGGUAGAAAAAGGAAAAAAUUUAUCUGAAGAAAUAUUAAGAAAACAUAGAAAAGAGUUAGACAGUUUGUCUUUUGCACUAUUAGACAAAGAAACAUUAUCAGGUGAAGAGAUUAAAAAAAUUAUAGAUCCUGAUAAUUCAAGAGAUUGUUCAAUGAAAAUAGAUUCUAUUAAGAAAUAUCAAAAAAAUGAGCCAGUCAAAGAUAAAAAUGUUAAUGGUAAAAAAAAUGUAUCAGAUAAGAAGGGAGAAAGUGGAAAUAUAAGGGGAAGUACUAAUGGAUUGGAAAAUGUUCAUGACAAUGAAAUGAAAAAUGUUAGGAUUAACGACGUUAGUAAUAAUGGCCAAAGCACAAGUGAUCGAGUAGGUAACAUUUCUCUUGAAAAAGAUGUUGAUAAUAGUAGUGAUGAUAAUAGUAGUGAUGAUAAUAGUAGUGAUGAUAAUAGUAGUGUUGAUAAUAGUAGUGGUGAUGGUAAUAGUGGUAAUGACAUCAGUAGGGAUAGUCAUAGUGGUAGUGAAAACAGCAGUAGUAACGAUAAAAACAAAAGUAAUAACUUUAGUGAUAGUAAUGAAAACAAUAAAGAAGAAGAAAAUAAAUUUAUAAUUUUUGAUGAGAAUAAAAAAAAUAUCAUUAAGAAAUAUGCAAAAAGCAUUGGUAAUAAUGUAAAGAGUAAAAAGAGAAAAGCAAAAAGCUUUGAUAAAAACAUAAAAAGAAAUAAUAUAUUUAAAAUUAUAAACAACCAUAGUUCUCAGGGUGGUAGCCAAAAUGGCAAUUUCGAAGAUAUGCAAAGUCGUAUUGAAUUAUCAAGUGAAUUUAUCAAAAGUUGUGACUCAGGAAAAUCGACUGAACAGCAAAAUGGUCAUAAUAAUAGUAGUGGUAGUAGUAAUAGUAGUAGUAGUAGUAGCAGUAGCAGCAGUAGUAGCAGUAGUAGUAAUAGUAGUAGUACCAAUUUUGUAAAAAAUAUUAAUGAAGUUUUUAAAAGCCAUAUAAAAAACCACACAAAUUGUGAUCAAAAUGAUGACAACAAUAAUUAUAACCUUGAUAAAACAAAAAAAGAAUCUGUUAACAAUUUCAAUGAAAUAGUAGAUAUCUCACAUAUAAUAAAUGUGGAAGACAUGAAGAAAUUUAAUAUAUUUGAACACAACUUGAAUAAAUUAUUUUUAUUUGAUAUUUUUAGCAAUUAGGGUAAACAUGAGUAGUCCAUAAUGCUACUGUUACUACGUUGAUGAUGAUAAUAAUAAUAGUAGCAGUAACAGUUAUAAUAAUAAAUGUUUUUUGUUUUUUUCA
Molecule: long non-coding RNA, 1412 nt
Filed under: Piliocolobus tephrosceles (Ugandan red Colobus)
Lineage: Eukaryota; Metazoa; Chordata; Mammalia; Primates; Cercopithecidae
Description: lncRNA (ENSPTEG00000016755.1)
Source: RNAcentral